Molecule: ribosomal RNA, 274 nt
Filed under: uncultured bacterium
Lineage: Bacteria
Description: partial 16S ribosomal RNA
Rfam family: Bacterial small subunit ribosomal RNA
Source: RNAcentral
AUACGGAGGGUGCAAGCGUUACUCGGAAUCACUGGGCGUAAAGCGCGCGCAGGCGGUCUUUUAAGUUGGAUGUGAAAGCCUACGGCUCAACCGUAGAACUGCAUCCAAAACUAUUAGACUAGAGUGUGGGAGAGGAAGAUGGAAUUAGUUGUGUAGGGGUAAAAUCCGUAGAGAUAACUAGGAAUACCAAAAGCGAAGGCAAUCUUCUGGAACACUACUGACGCUGAGGCGCGAAAGCGUGGGGAGCAAACAGAAUUAGAAACCCCAGUAGUCC